Non-coding RNA from Acanthosepion pharaonis, 121 nucleotides. NCBI's taxonomy places the organism in Eukaryota, Metazoa, Mollusca, Cephalopoda, Sepiida, Sepiidae. The record is from the annotation of a GenBank genome assembly.
UACGGCCAUAUCACGUUGUCACGUUGAAACACCGGUUCCCAUAUGAUCACCGAAGUUAAGCAACGUAGAGCCUGAUCAGUACUUAGAUGAGUGAUAACUUAGGAAUACCAGGUACUGUAAG